CCUACGGGAGGCAGCAGUGAGGGAUAUUGGUCAAUGGGGGAAACCCUGAACCAGCAACGCCGCGUGAGGGAAGACGGUUUUCGGAUUGUAAACCUCUGUCUUCUGUGAAGAUAAUGACGGUAUCUGAGGAGUAAGCUCCGGCUAACUACGUGCCAGCAGCCGCGGUAAUACGUAGGGAGCAAGCGUUGUCCGGAUUUACUGGGUGUAAAGGGUGCGUAGGCGGCUUUGCAAGUCAGAAGUGAAAUCCAUGGGCUUAACCCAUGAACUGCUUUUGAAACUGGAGUGCUUGAGUGGAGUAGAGGUAGGCGGAAUUCGCGGUGUAGCGGUGAAAUGCGUAGAGAUCGAGAGGAACACC
RNAcentral lists this ribosomal RNA (355 nucleotides) under uncultured bacterium. RNAcentral's name for it is "partial 16S ribosomal RNA". It matches the Rfam family "Bacterial small subunit ribosomal RNA", at positions 338 to 710 of the family's 1533-position model. The record is from RNAcentral.